This 627-nucleotide ribosomal RNA is filed under the name Zonosaurus madagascariensis. RNAcentral describes it as "partial 12S ribosomal RNA". The stretch from base 1 to 481 matches the Rfam family "Bacterial small subunit ribosomal RNA", at positions 856 to 1533 of the family's 1533-position model. The record is from RNAcentral. Lineage: Eukaryota; Metazoa; Chordata; Lepidosauria; Squamata; Gerrhosauridae.
CAUACUAACUAUUCGCCAGAAUACUACAAGCAAAACGCUUGAAACUCAAAGGACUUGGUGGUGUCCCAUAUCACCCUAGAGGAGCCUGUCCUAUAAUCGAUACUCCACGUUAAACCUUACCAUCUUUGGUCACUCCAGCCUAUAUACCGCCGUCGCAAGCCUACCCUAUGAAGGCCAUACAGUAGGCAAAACUGCCCACACAAAAACGUCAGGUCAAGGUGUAGCUUAUAAGACGGAAGAGAUGGGCUACAUUUUCUAACUUAGAAAAUACGAACAAUUCAAUGAAAUCUUGUAUUAGAAGGAGGAUUUAGCAGUAAAAUAUAAAAGAAAAAUAAUUUUAAACUAGCCCUGGGACGCGCACACACCGCCCGUCACCCUCAUCAAUAACAUAUACAACUAACAUAUACCGUGAAUCUCCCACAGAUGAGGCAAGUCGUAACAUGGUAAGCGUACUGGAAAGUGCGCUUGGAUUAACAAAAAGUAGCUUAAAAUAAAGCAUUCAGCUUACAAUUGAAAAAUGUUAUUUACCCAACCUUUUUGAGCCUUAACCUUAAGCCCACUACCCCCUCCCACUCAAUUAAACAAACAAAACAAACCAUUUGACCAGAAUAGUAUCUGAGAGAGAAC